RNAcentral lists this unclassified non-coding RNA (195 nucleotides) under plant metagenome. Its description in RNAcentral is "partial contains small subunit ribosomal RNA, internal transcribed spacer 1, and 5.8S ribosomal RNA". The record is from RNAcentral.
UCUCCGUUGGUGAACCAGCGGAGGGAUCAUUACCGAGUUUACAACUCCCAAACCCCUGUGAACAUACCAUUUGUUGCCUCGGCGGUGCCUGCCUCGGCAGCCCGCCAGAGGACCCAGACCCUUGAUUUUAUACAGUAUCUUCUGAGUAAAUGAUUAAAUAAAUCAAAACUUUCAACAACGGAUCUCUUGGUUCUG